GUGCCAGCCGCCGCGGUAAUACGGAGGGUGCAAGCGUUAUCCGGAUUCACUGGGUUUAAAGGGUGCGUAGGCGGAUAUGUAAGUCCGUGGUGAAAUCUCUGGGCUUAACCCGGAAACUGCCAUGGAUACUAUGUGUCUUGAAUGUUGUUGAGGUGAGCGGAAUAUGUCAUGUAGCGGUGAAAUGCUUAGAUAUGACAUAGAACACCAAUUGCGAAGGCAGCUCACUAAGCAAAUAUUGACGCUGAGGCACGAAAGCGUGGGGAUCAAACAGGAUUAGAUACCCUCGUAGUCC
This 292-nucleotide ribosomal RNA is filed under the name uncultured bacterium. RNAcentral's name for it is "partial 16S ribosomal RNA". It matches the Rfam family "Bacterial small subunit ribosomal RNA", at positions 505 to 796 of the family's 1533-position model. The record is from RNAcentral.